CGAAGGCAAUGUCCAGUCACUCUCAAGUCAUGUGUGACACCCAACCAGCCUAGUGGAAGAAAGAAAUGGCUGAUGAAACAUGUAAAUCUUCCUGCCAACCUGUCACCUCAAUCAACCCCUGCCAUGGCGUGGUUGAAUUUGGGAAUCUGGAAAAAUAGGAGACAGACUGGAAGCAGCGGUUACAAGGGGAAGAGUCUCAGAAACAUCUCAACAAUCAGAUGGACUAGAAAGAUCCAUCUAGUCCAGUACUGUGUUGCUGAUGAAAACACAAGAGACAUUCUGGAGGAAAUGAUCAGGACCAGCCAUCUAUGUACUCCUAAAUUUCCUAAGAAUUCAUUAUAAUUGUAUGUAAAUUAAUUUUUUUCUCUUUAACUGAGAAAAUAACAUGUGUACCUAGCAAAAAAAUAUUCAAGCAAAACAAGUAUAUAAACAUUAAAAUGUAAACCUUU
Lutra lutra (Eurasian river otter) is the source of this 449-nucleotide long non-coding RNA. RefSeq lists it as uncharacterized. The record is from RefSeq and is a predicted model, not a curated record. Lineage: Eukaryota; Metazoa; Chordata; Mammalia; Carnivora; Mustelidae. The transcript has 2 exons.